GAGGAUAUAGCUCAGUGGCAGAGUGUAUGCUUAGCUAGCACAAGAUCUUGGAUUCAAUCUCCAGUACUUCCA
This 72-nucleotide transfer RNA is filed under the name Camelus bactrianus (Bactrian camel). It matches the Rfam family "tRNA". From Rfam's summary of the family: Transfer RNA (tRNA) molecules are approximately 80 nucleotides in length. Their secondary structure includes four short double-helical elements and three loops (D, anti-codon, and T loops). Lineage: Eukaryota; Metazoa; Chordata; Mammalia; Artiodactyla; Camelidae. The record is from Rfam by way of RNAcentral. RNAcentral also lists the same sequence under 2 other names.